This 253-nucleotide ribosomal RNA is filed under the name uncultured bacterium. RNAcentral describes it as "partial 16S ribosomal RNA". It matches the Rfam family "Bacterial small subunit ribosomal RNA", at positions 524 to 776 of the family's 1533-position model. The record is from RNAcentral.
UACGUAGGGUGCAAGCGUUGUCCGGAAUUAUUGGGCGUAAAGAGCUCGUAGGCGGUUUGUCGCGUCGAAUGUGAAAUCCCGGGGCUCAACCCCGGGCCUGCAUUCGAUACGGGCAGACUAGAGUUCGGUAGGGGAGUCUGGAAUUCCUGGUGUAGCGGUGAAAUGCGCAGAUAUCAGGAGGAACACCGGUGGCGAAGGCGGGUCUCUGGGCCGAUACUGACGCUGAGGAGCGAAAGCGUGGGGAGCAAACAGG